AUUGAACGCUGGCGGCAUGCUUUACACAUGCAAGUCGAACGGUACCAGGCCGCAAGGUGCUGACGAGUGGCGAACGGGUGAGUAAUGCAUCGGAACGUGCCCAGUCGUGGGGGAUAACUACUCGAAAGAGUAGCUAAUACCGCAUACGAUCUAUGGAUGAAAGCGGGGGACCGUAAGGCCUCGCGCGAUUGGAGCGGCCGAUGUCAGAUUAGGUAGUUGGUGGGGUAAAGGCUCACCAAGCCAACGAUCUGUAGCUGGUCUGAGAGGACGACCAGCCACACUGGGACUGAGACACGGCCCAGACUCCUACGGGAGGCAGCAGUGGGGAAUUUUGGACAAUGGGCGCAAGCCUGAUCCAGCAAUGCCGCGUGCAGGAAGAAGGCCUUCGGGUUGUAAGCUGCUUUUGUACGGAACGAAACGGCUCUGGUUAAUACCCGGGGCUAAUGACGGUACCGUAAGAAUAAGCACCGGCUAACUACGUG
RNAcentral lists this ribosomal RNA (482 nucleotides) under uncultured bacterium. Its description in RNAcentral is "partial 16S ribosomal RNA". It matches the Rfam family "Bacterial small subunit ribosomal RNA", at positions 30 to 507 of the family's 1533-position model. The record is from RNAcentral.